Siniperca chuatsi (mandarin fish) is the source of this 1117-nucleotide long non-coding RNA. RefSeq lists it as uncharacterized. The record is from RefSeq and is a predicted model, not a curated record. The transcript is spliced from 4 exons. NCBI's taxonomy places the organism in Eukaryota, Metazoa, Chordata, Actinopteri, Centrarchiformes, Sinipercidae.
CUAUGAGUGAGUGAUGCGCCCAAUGCGUGCGUCCGCCGCCUCUGAAAGACUGACAGCGCUUUCCGCCAAUCACUACAGCUCCUGCUGUUCAGAAACAUUUCAAUCACCUGUAAGGGGUCCUUCAUGGAUAAUUUCUCUGCUUGAGUGCCCGCUGAUGGCCUGUCAGUCCUUUUUCAUCUCUGGUACCUGUGAGGUUCCAUUGUCCUGAGGCAGCCGAGGGUCCAUAGAGACAUCACUUUUUACAGGAACCCUGUGGGUAAUUGCAGGAUGUGGAGCCACCAGGAGAUCAGCAACGCUAGUUGUGUGGCUCUAUGGAUGGCAAUGCCAGUUGGUCGGUUCACCACUUUGGUCCAGAAAUAUUGCAACAACUGCUGCAUGGAUUGUUGUGAAAUUUGUUUCUGACUUUCACGGUGCCCAGAGGAUGAAUCCUCCCAAAAAUGACUUUGGUGAUCCCCUGACGUUUCUUCUAGCGCCAACAACAGUCUUCGCAGAUCCAUCAGCUCAUCGUUCCACGAACCCCUUCAGCCAUCAGCCCCAGCAGAGUCAUCAGCCACCACCACCACCACCAGUGUCUGGACUCCAUGGGGGGAUUUAUUCUGCUGCUGCUCAGGGCAGACGUUCUCCAUAACCAAAAUCUCUCUGCAGAGUCUAAGCGCCAAAGACUCUGUCAAGAUUAACAUCUCACAUCAUCUGUUUCAAUAAACUCUAUCUUUACUUCAUUCACUUGUCUCUCCUGAUUGAAAUAAUAACCAGGUUCAUCAGUGAUGACAGACGGACUGUAGCCUGUUGUGAAUGUUGGAGUGACCAAGUGCACAUAAAUAGCGUUUCCUACGUUAAUAUCUGUCAUAAACACUAAAUCUCCUCACAAAUAAUUAAAAUUACUAAUUGAAUUCCAGUUUUUAGCUCUGCAAGGUCUUGUGAGGUAUAUACAGCUAUCACUUUCAGUGCAUGCCCAGAGUAGAGCAGUAGCAGAAGUCAGAAACCCACAACAUAAACAUAAAUGGAUGAUACAUGACUUGUCUUCAAUAACUUCAUGAGUCACAAACCAUGGCAAGAACAAGCGUGUCCAAGCCGUGUUCAGCACUUUUUAGUGUCCUCUGGAAACACUUCCAUUGUC